GAACCACCUGAUCCCUUCCCGAACUCAGAAGUGAAACCUCUUAGCGCUGAUGGUAGUGUGGGAUUACCCAUGUGAGAGUAAGUCAUCGCCAG
This 92-nucleotide ribosomal RNA is filed under the name Acinetobacter baumannii. The record is from RNAcentral. Lineage: Bacteria; Pseudomonadati; Pseudomonadota; Gammaproteobacteria; Moraxellales; Moraxellaceae.